This 41-nucleotide ribosomal RNA is filed under the name Symbiodinium sp. Oku01. RNAcentral's name for it is "partial 28S ribosomal RNA". RNAcentral also lists the same sequence under 10 other names. Lineage: Eukaryota; Dinophyceae; Suessiales; Symbiodiniaceae. The record is from RNAcentral.
ACACUUCCUAGCAUGAAGUCAGACAAGUGAACCCGCCGAAU